AUAAAUAAGACGCGAAUACUGUCAACUCCCGUGGUACAUAUUUCAUAAGGGCAGGGACGAGCAAGUCCUGAAUUUCUGAUUAUAUUAACGUAACCAGAAUCAAUUCUUUGCGAUGCCCGUUACCCCUCGGUCGACUGUAUUAUACGAUUACAAUUAGUAGCACCCCCUGCGUAUUCCCUGAUUACAUCAGAAACGAACCUCCAGAGGCUGCACAAUUGGGUAGUUAUCGAUAUUGGGGCACAGGAUGUUUUGUUCGCAGGGAGUUAAACGUUAUGACUUUUUCCUCGUUACGCCAACUUGCGUGUAUCCAGGAUAUUUUAGCGACGUUCUGGCAAAGGAGGAAUCAAAGCUGAAAAUUUGAUAACGUGCAUAUGUAUAUAUAGUUGACCCUUUAUUACUUGGAAACCUCUAUAAGGCAACAAUUUUGUUAAAAUUCAUAAUUCAUAAUUCAUAUCGCUAAAAUUAAAUAAAAGUUACUUUAACUCGAAUUAUUUGCCAUAGGUCCAGAUACAUUAUUUUACAUCCGUACCUCGAAUUUGGAAUAGCCAGAUCUCUACACGCUGCUGCCCCCACGACUAGAAGUGCACCUAUAGCUAUGUGUCACAGCACGUGAGAAACCAAUUAUUUGAUAUUGUCCCCUUUCUUCCAACCGCUGGGAUUGUCUUAAAUAAAAUAAGACGUUGCAAGCCGUAUUCCUACCUCGUCGACGUUCGACUAUGUAUACAUUCAUGGGAGGUAAUUGUUUUUCAUUAGUCGAAUGAAUAAUUGUCAUUAUCUAGAUAUACUUAAGAUAAAUACAUUAAAAUAAAUUUAUAUAAUAUAAUACAUAAAAUAAAUUUAUUGCAAAGUAAAUAAUUUGAACCCAGAGAGUCACCUUAUAAACGCCAGACAGCUAAUAAAACUGCACUAACCGCAGGCCCUUCUUGCGCUGACAAUUUGCUAAAAAAUGCCAUCACGCUCAGCUGCGCAGGAUCGACUGGAUGUUAUUUCUCUGCGGAAACAGCGACGACAUCUUCAUUCAAGGAGCCACUAGCCUCGAGAGAGCUAUGGUGCCGAUUCAUCGUGUGCACAAUUCGUCUCGUUCCUAUUCACUCGUACGAAAAACGGAGUCAAUGGGCCGUCGUCCUUGUGUUCGUUCCGACUGCAGGCUUAUUAUUAUGACCCGAAUUAUUUCGGGAAUAGCAGCCAGUAGCUACAGGUGUACCCGUUCAUGGAUACGUCGUUCGGGACACAUUCAGCGACGUACGGUCAUUGAGAAGAAAAGUUUUUGCCGAUGACGAAUCGUAGGAAGCGACCGAUCCUCCGGGGAGGAAGCGUAAAAAGGAUCUGCCGGCAUUGAACGAUCCGUUCGUCCAGAACGGACCGGCUCCCGUCGAUGGAAAGCAUCCUGGUUCUCCUUUUACAUCGAAUAAUCGAGCAACGGUGUAAUUGUGAAGUUGGAAGCACGCUGUUCACCGACAAUGCGCACAUUUGUCAGGAGAACAGUAUCGAUGAGCACUUCAUUUCUCGAGAUCGUGGAAAGUCCUCGAAAGCACACGCCCAGGUUAUUCCAGCUGUGAUUUGGAAAGUCCUGUAUGGUGUUUUGGAUUUAUUUGAGUUUUGUAUAAUUCAUAUGUUGGUAUCUUUGUUGUGUAUUGCUGGAAUUCAGAAAUGUUUCUUUGUUAGAAAUUGCCUAUUAAGUUACUAGUGAAUGAUAGUUAUUGGAUGAAUCUGAGGAUGUAAGUUAUGGUUCAUGUUGUAAAAAUAUGUACGUUAGUAACAAUCAA
Long non-coding RNA from Bombus terrestris (buff-tailed bumblebee), 1766 nucleotides. RefSeq lists it as uncharacterized. Lineage: Eukaryota; Metazoa; Arthropoda; Insecta; Hymenoptera; Apidae. The transcript has 2 exons. The record is from RefSeq and is a predicted model, not a curated record.